AAAUUGAAGAGUUUGAUCAUGGCUCAGAUUGAACGCUGGCGGCAGGCCUAACACAUGCAAGUCGAACGGUAACAGGAAACAGCUUGCUGUUUCGCUGACGAGUGGCGGACGGGUGAGUAAUGUCUGGGAAACUGCCUGGUGGAGGGGGAUAACUACUGGAAACGGUAGCUAAUACCGCAUAACGUCGCAAGACCAAAGAGGGGGACCUUCGGGCCUCUUGCCAUCGGAUGUGCCCAGAUGGGAUUAGCUAGUAGGUGGGGUAACGGCUCACCUAGGCGACGAUCCCUAGCUGGUCUGAGAGGAUGACCAGCCACACUGGAACUGAGACACGGUCCAGACUCCUACGGGAGGCAGCAGUGGGGAAUAUUGCACAAUGGGCGCAAGCCUGAUGCAGCCAUGCCGCGUGUAUGAAGAAGGCCUUCGGGUUGUAAAGUACUUUCAGCGGGGAGGAAGGGAGUAAAGUUAAUACCUUU
RNAcentral lists this ribosomal RNA (473 nucleotides) under Escherichia coli. RNAcentral's name for it is "bacterial SSU rRNA". It matches the Rfam family "Bacterial small subunit ribosomal RNA", at positions 1 to 470 of the family's 1533-position model. The record is from RNAcentral. Lineage: Bacteria; Pseudomonadati; Pseudomonadota; Gammaproteobacteria; Enterobacterales; Enterobacteriaceae.